CUAGCGACUUCAGAGUUUGAUCCUGGCUCAGGAUGAACGCUGGCGGCGUGCCUAACACAUGCAAGUCGAACGGACUUCACAUUGAAUGAGACUUCGGUUGAAGGAUAUUUGAAGUUAGUGGCGGACGGGUGAGUAACGCGUGGAGAACCUGCCCUGUACAGGGGGAUAACAAUCAGAAAUGAUUGCUAAAACCGCAUAAGCGCACAGUACCGCAUGGUACAGUGUGAAAAACUCCGGUGGUACAGGAUGGCUCCGCGUUGGAUUAGCCGGUUGGCGGGGUAACGGCCCACCAAAGCAACGAUCCAUAGCCGGCCUGAGAGGGUGAACGGCCACAUUGGGACUGAGACACGGCCCAG
Molecule: ribosomal RNA, 356 nt
Filed under: uncultured bacterium
Lineage: Bacteria
Description: bacterial SSU rRNA
Rfam family: Bacterial small subunit ribosomal RNA
Source: RNAcentral